RNAcentral lists this signal recognition particle RNA (298 nucleotides) under Aotus nancymaae (Ma's night monkey). RNAcentral describes it as "Metazoan signal recognition particle RNA (ENSANAG00000010099.1)". It matches the Rfam family "Metazoan signal recognition particle RNA". From Rfam's summary of the family: The signal recognition particle (SRP) is a universally conserved ribonucleoprotein. It is involved in the co-translational targeting of proteins to membranes. The eukaryotic SRP consists of a 300-nucleotide 7S RNA and six proteins: SRPs 72, 68, 54, 19, 14, and 9. Lineage: Eukaryota; Metazoa; Chordata; Mammalia; Primates; Aotidae. The record is from RNAcentral.
GCCGGGCAUGGUGGCACGUGCCUGUAGUUCCAGCUACUUGGGAAGUUGAGGCUGGAGGAUCUCUUGAGCCCAGGAGUUCUGGGCUGUAGUGCACUAUGCCAAUUGUGUGUCCACACUAAGUUUGGCAUCAAUAUGGUGACCUCCCAGAGCGGGGUACCACCAGGUUGCCUAAGGAGGGGUGAACCAGCCCAGGUAGGAAACGGAGCAGGUCAAAACUCCUGUGCUGAUCAGUAGUGGGAUCGCACCUGUGAAUAGCCACUGCACUCCAGCGUGGGCAAUAUAGCGAGACCCUGUCUCU